This 181-nucleotide ribosomal RNA is filed under the name uncultured bacterium. RNAcentral's name for it is "partial 16S ribosomal RNA". It matches the Rfam family "Bacterial small subunit ribosomal RNA", at positions 1319 to 1500 of the family's 1533-position model. The record is from RNAcentral.
CAUGAAGCUGGAAUUGCUAGUAAUGGCAGGUCAGCAUACUGCCGUGAAUACGUUCCCGGGCCUUGUACACACCGCCCGUCACACCAUGAGAGUUGGGAAUACCCGAAGCCUGUGAGCUAACUUAUAGAGGCAGCAGCCGAAGGUAGAAUCAAUGAUUGGGGUGAAGUCGUAACAAGGUAGC